GCUUAUGCGUUGUUGGGUAGGGGAGCGUUCUGUAAGCCUGUGAAGGUGGCCUGUGAGGGUUGCUGGAGGUAUCAGAAGUGCGAAUGCUGACAUAAGUAACGAUAAAGCGGGUGAAAAGCCCGCUCGCCGGAAGACCAAGGGUUCCUGUCCAACGUUAAUCGGGGCAGGGUGAGUCGACCCCUAAGGCGAGGCCGAAAGGCGUAGUCGAUGGGAAACGGGUUAAUAUUCCCGUACUUGGUGUUACUGCGAAGGGGGGACGGAGAAGGCUAUGUUGGCCGGGCGACGGUUGUCCCGGUUUAAGCGUGUAGGUGUGUGUUCCAGGUAAAUCCGGUUCACUUUAACACUGAGGCGUGAUGACGAGGCACUACGGUGCUGAAGCAACAAAUGCCCUGCUUCCAGGAAAAGCCUCUAAGCAUCAGGUAACAUCAAAUCGUACCCCAAACCGACACAGGUGGUCAGGUAGAGAAUACCAAGGCGCUUGAGAGAACUCGGGUGAAGGAACUAGGCAAAAUGGUGCCGUAACUUCGGGAGAAGGCACGCUGACACGUAGGUGAAGUGAUUUACUCAUGGAGCUGAAGUCAGUCGAAGAUACCAGCUGGCUGCAACUGUUUAUUAAAAACACAGCACUGUGCAAACACGAAAGUGGACGUAUACGGUGUGACGCCUGCCCGGUGCCGGAAGGUUAAUUGAUGGGGUCAGCGCAAGCGAAGCUCCUGAUCGAAGCCCCGGUAAACGGCGGCCGUAACUAUAACGGUCCUAAGGUAGCGAAAUUCCUUGUCGGGUAAGUUCCGACCUGCACGAAUGGCGUAAUGAUGGCCAGGCUGUCUCCACCCGAGACUCAGUGAAAUUGAACUCGCUGUGAAGAUGCAGUGUACCCGCGGCAAGACGGAAAGACCCCGUGAACCUUUACUAUAGCUUGACACUGAACAUUGAGCCUUGAUGUGUAGGAUAGGUGGGAGGCUUUGAAGUGUGGACGCCAGUCUGCAUGGAGCCGACCUUGAAAUACCACCCUUUAAUGUUUGAUGUUCUAACGUGGACCCGUGAUCCGGGUUGCGGACAGUGUCUGGUGGGUAGUUUGACUGGGGCGGUCUCCUCCUAAAGAGUAACGGAGGAGCACGAAGGUUGGCUAAUCCUGGUCGGACAUCAGGAGGUUAGUGCAAUGGCAUAAGCCAGCUUGACUGCGAGCGUGACGGCGCGAGCAGGUGCGAAAGCAGGUCAUAGUGAUCCGGUGGUUCUGAAUGGAAGGGCCAUCGCUCAACGGAUAAAAGGUACUCCGGGGAUAACAGGCUGAUACCGCCCAAGAGUUCAUAUCGACGGCGGUGUUUGGCACCUCGAUGUCGGCUCAUCACAUCCUGGGGCUGAAGUAGGUCCCAAGGGUAUGGCUGUUCGCCAUUUAAAGUGGUACGCGAGCUGGGUUUAGAACGUCGUGAGACAGUUCGGUCCCUAUCUGCCGUGGGCGCUGGAGAACUGAGGGGGGCUGCUCCUAGUACGAGAGGACCGGAGUGGACGCAUCACUGGUGUUCGGGUUGUCAUGCCAAUGGCACUGCCCGGUAGCUAAAUGCGGAAGAGA
RNAcentral lists this ribosomal RNA (1570 nucleotides) under Salmonella enterica subsp. enterica serovar Weltevreden. RNAcentral describes it as "partial 23S ribosomal RNA". It matches the Rfam family "Bacterial large subunit ribosomal RNA", at positions 1213 to 2764 of the family's 2925-position model. The record is from RNAcentral. Lineage: Bacteria; Pseudomonadati; Pseudomonadota; Gammaproteobacteria; Enterobacterales; Enterobacteriaceae.